This 228-nucleotide ribosomal RNA is filed under the name uncultured bacterium. Its description in RNAcentral is "partial 16S ribosomal RNA". It matches the Rfam family "Bacterial small subunit ribosomal RNA", at positions 118 to 340 of the family's 1533-position model. The record is from RNAcentral.
UGGGUAAUCAACCCUUCAGCUUGGGAUAACGACUUGAAAGGGUCGCUAAUACCGGAUACGGCGCGAGAGGCUUCGGCUUCUCACGAGAAAGCCUCGCAAGGGGCACUGAAGGACGAGCCUGCGGCCCAUCAGCUAGUUGGUGAGGUAAGAGCUCACUAAGGCUAAGACGGGUAGCUGGUCUGAGAGGAUGAUCAGCCACACUGGAACUGAGACACGGUCCAGACUCCG